AUUGAACGCUGGCGGCAGGCCUAACACAUGCAAGUCGAACGAGUGGCGGACGGGUGCGUAAUGUCUGGGAAACUGACUGCUGGAGGGGGAUAACUACUGGAAACGGUAGCUAAUACCGCAUACCAUCAGAUGUGCCCAGAUGGGAUUAGCUUGUGGGGGGGGUAAAGGCUAACAAAGGAGACGAUCCCUAGCUGGUAUGAGAGGAUGACUAGCCACACUGGUACUGAGCGAAGUUCCAGACUACUACGGGAGGCAGCAGUGGGGAAUAUUGCACAAUGGGCGCAACGCUGAUGCAGCCAUGCCGAGUGGAUGAAGAAGGCCUUCGGGUGGUAAAGUACGUUCAGCGGGGAGGCGUUACCCGCAGAAGAAGCACCGGCUAACUCCGUGCCAGCCGCCGCGGUAAUUC
This 406-nucleotide ribosomal RNA is filed under the name uncultured bacterium. RNAcentral's name for it is "partial 16S ribosomal RNA". It matches the Rfam family "Bacterial small subunit ribosomal RNA", at positions 30 to 526 of the family's 1533-position model. The record is from RNAcentral.